GGGGGUGUGGUGGAGAUGGUUACCACGCCGGCCUGUCAAGCCGGAGGUCGCGGGUUCAAAUCCCGUCGCUCCCG
Molecule: transfer RNA, 74 nt
Filed under: Spirochaetaceae bacterium
Lineage: Bacteria; Pseudomonadati; Spirochaetota; Spirochaetia; Spirochaetales; Spirochaetaceae
Also listed under: 1 other name
Description: tRNA-Asp
Rfam family: tRNA
About the family: Transfer RNA (tRNA) molecules are approximately 80 nucleotides in length. Their secondary structure includes four short double-helical elements and three loops (D, anti-codon, and T loops). Further hydrogen bonds mediate the characteristic L-shaped molecular structure. tRNAs have two regions of fundamental functional importance: the anti-codon, which is responsible for specific mRNA codon recognition, and the 3' end, to which the tRNAs corresponding amino acid is attached (by aminoacyl-tRNA synthetases). tRNAs cope with the degeneracy of the genetic code in two manners: having more than one tRNA (with a specific anti-codon) for a particular amino acid; and 'wobble' base-pairing, i.e. permitting non-standard base-pairing at the 3rd anti-codon position.
Source: RNAcentral